UACGUAGGUGGCAAGCGUUGUCCGGAAUUACUGGGCGUAAAGGGCGUGUAGGCGGCCUUUUAAGUCAGGCGUGAAAUCUCUGGGCUUAACCCAGAAAUUGCGUUUGAAACUGGAAGGCUUGAGGAUCGGAGAGGGUAGUGGAAUUCCCAGUGUAGCGGUGAAAUGCGUAGAUAUUGGGAGGAACACCAGUGGCGAAGGCGACUGCCUGGACGACACCUGACGCUGAGGCGCGAAAGCCAGGGGAGCAAACGGG
RNAcentral lists this ribosomal RNA (253 nucleotides) under uncultured bacterium. RNAcentral's name for it is "partial 16S ribosomal RNA". It matches the Rfam family "Bacterial small subunit ribosomal RNA", at positions 524 to 776 of the family's 1533-position model. The record is from RNAcentral.